UUUGUUUAAUAAAAUCAGGUAUUACGUGUUUUCUCUGGUAAUCCGCAUUCAAUAAAACGUGCCAUAAUUGGUAAUAGUCGCAUUCGACCCCCUCCGAGUUCACUAUGUAAUACUAAACCUACUUCGCUUAUGCAUUUUCGCAUACGUGUCACGUAUCGAUGACUCAAUCUGCUGUACAUGAACUCGGGAGCGUGUGUAUCUUGUAGAGAUACAGGGAACUCGUAAAACUUCGUUUUAUGUUGACCGCAGCACCGGUUUGCACAUUAAUCACGACGAUGGGUGUUACUUUAGAGCAUGAUCAAGGAAAAUUUUAGAAUCUCACCUGGGUGCGUUACGCCACUGCGUGGGACGGAGUACGAUGCAUUCGAGCGAUGCACCAAGGUCGAGGCCACCUAUGCUAUGCCACACUACUUUAGGGAAACAUCUCGGAUCAGAUGCACAUACCUGCAUAAAUGGAUGUGCGUGCAUACGCGUUGCACGUAACGCUGUGUGCCAGAUUGCGUUAAGCGCGAAAACUUAUAUUUACUCGCGUGGCUCGGGAAUAAUAAUAAUAAUCGUUUACUUGAUGAUCCCAACUUUCCAGGCAAUUUCGGCAAUAUAAUCAUUUUAAUCGAACAUGCAAGCUAAAGAAAUAAUGAGUGGAUCAGAAUUAAACAAUUCUUUUUGCAUUAUUCUUUUUCAUACUUUCAAAUUUUUUUUAUAUAAUUUGAGCAAACACGAACGUUGAAAGAAUGUUUAAAAUGUUGAUGACGACGCUGGAAUUCGAUCCAAGGGAAUAUGAUUUGUAAGGAAUCAUCGCUUUAUAUUGCGAUACGCGUAAUCCUUUUUUCAUUAUAUACUUCAACAUGUAUAUCUGUAUCCGAUAAGAUAGAUUUGUUGUACUUUUGUACUAUUUUAGAGCAGAUAUCGUUUUUGUAUUGAAGCGUCACGCAUAUCAAGAGUAAUCCCACUUUGAUUGCUUACCAUCCUUUAUUUUCUUAUUGAAUCACUUACGAUUUCUAUCGGGGUGUGAUUAAAACCAGAUCGCAUGGAAGCCAAUCAAGAGAGAGACGGAGAAAUAACGUCCUUGCGAUGUGCUGCUAACUAACUGAUAAGUUCGAUUUUGCCAAUAAUCAUUAAUCACUCUUUCAAUAAUAAAUUGCUCUCGGCCUUUUUCGAGUUUUAGUUAUUGUUAUUGAAGCGUUUCCUUCAAUAAAGGAUUAAUGAAUA
Molecule: long non-coding RNA, 1209 nt
Organism: Ceratina calcarata
Lineage: Eukaryota; Metazoa; Arthropoda; Insecta; Hymenoptera; Apidae
Exons: 2
Source: RefSeq, a predicted model, not a curated record